AUGCACGCUGGCGGCGUGCCUAAUACAUGCAAGUCGCGCUAACAGAUGAGGAGCUUGCUCCUCUGACGUUAGCGGCGGACGGGUGAGUAACACGUGGAUAACCUACCUAUAAGACUGGGAUAACUUCGGGAAACCGGAGCUAAUACCGGAUAAUAUAUUGAACCGCAUGGUUCAAUAGUGAAAGACGGUUUUGCUGUCACUUAUAGAUGGAUCCGCGCCGCAUUAGCUAGUUGGUAAGGUAACGGCUUACCAAGGCAACGAUGCGUAGCCGACCUGAGAGGGUGAUCGGCCACACUGGAACUGAGACACGGUCCAGACUCCUACGGGAGGCAGCAGUAGGGAAUCUUCCGCAAUGGGCGAAAGCCUGACGGAGCAACGCCGCGUGAGUGAUGAAGGUCUUCGGAUCGUAAAACUCUGUUAUUAGGGAAGAACAAAUGUGUAAGUAACUAUGCACGUCUUGACGGUACCUAAUCAGAAAGCCACGGCUAACUACGUG
RNAcentral lists this ribosomal RNA (496 nucleotides) under uncultured bacterium. RNAcentral describes it as "partial 16S ribosomal RNA". It matches the Rfam family "Bacterial small subunit ribosomal RNA", at positions 29 to 507 of the family's 1533-position model. The record is from RNAcentral.